ACCUUUAUGCUGGCUCAGAAUCUGGAAGAAUUGAAGAUACGAAUCAUCUAACAGACCUCUUACUGUACCGCUAUUAUUUUUAUCUUCUUUCCCAAGGCGGAGCUAGAAGCGCCCUCCAGUGGCACAUGCUUUGCUAAGCCACCUGCAGCCAAAGUUUGGGUUAUGUUUUUAGCACCGCGCGUGUAUUAUCUCUUCGCGAACCAAGGAGGUUGCUGCUGCGCAUGCGCCUGUCGUCAAAUGGGCGGGGAAGUUUCCGGAAGUCUUCCUUUGUGAAGAGGUGGGGUUUGAUGCUUCGCAGUCCUCCCAGGGCCGCUCUGACCUGCAUCUCUGCAACUUCUCGCCUCCUCCGCAUCCUCCUCCCACAGCGGCCGCUCGCCCCAGCCUUUCCUCGCCCUCCCAGCGGGUCUUCCCGGGGCCGCUCUGGCCCGAGUCCCUUCGACUCGCUGAUCUGGCCUCUACGGCUUCGUUGGGAGCCGCGGGUGGGUGAGCAAGGGAGUGCGUCUAUGGGGUCCAGGCCCGAGCCCCCGUGAAGACGGACACCGCCCCCGACACCCGCUUGUGCCCCGCCCCCGACUGGAGGGGUCUUUCGCGAGCCAUCCGGGCCUGGCCCGGCCCAGCCCGGCCUGCACCCUCUGUGGAGGCCCCUCGCCGGGCCCUAGAGCCCUUGGGCCCCUCGGGACCCACCCAUCUAUAAGGUCCGUUUCGGUCUGCAGCGGUUCGCGUCUGUAACUGCUGGACACUGUUUAUGGGUCAGCCAGCCUAUGGGGACUCGUGUCUGUAAGGGAUUCCCAUGGUCCCUAGGGGUCGGCCCUGUCCAUAACGACCCCAUUCACAGGCCCUUCCAUGGGUCUUUAGGGUUCACCCCUCGUCUUCCAGAGCCCGCCAACAACGGCUGUUGCUUUCGUGGGGACUGCGACCCCUGGACCUCCCGGGUCCACAAGGCCAUGCCGCGUCUAUAGAGGUCAUAUUUGCAGGGCCUCACGUCGGGUCAAGGGUCUUCUCUGUGUCUCUACGGCCCGCCUAAUCUGUAAGGGUCAGUGUUGAAGGCGGCAAUGGCCCUGGGCCGAGCUGUGGCCGCGGCACUGGCUCUAUAUUUGGUUGUUCUCGGGCCGCUGUCCCCUGGGGCCCAGGCGGGGGACUGCAAGGGGCAGCGGCAAGUUCUGCGGGAGGCACCAGGCUUCGUGACGGAUGGUGCGGGCAACUACAGCGUCAAUGGCAAUUGCGAGUGGCUCAUCGAGGCCCCAAGCCCCCAGCACCGGAUCCUGCUGGACUUUCUUUUUCUGGACACGGAAUGCACCUACGACUACCUGUUCGUGUAUGAUGGUGACUCCCCCCGUGGGCCCCUGCUUGCCAGUCUGAGUGGGAGCACCCGGCCUCCACCCAUCGAGGCUUCAUCAGGCAAGAUGCUGCUGCACCUCUUCAGCGAUGCCAACUACAACCUGUUGGGCUUCAACGCCUCAUACCACUUCUCCCUUUGCCCGGGUGGCUGCCACAGCCACGGGCAGUGCCAGCCCCUGGGGGUGUGUGCCUGCGAGCCGGGCUGGGUAGGCCCUGACUGCAGCCUACAGGAGUGCCCAGCCUACUGUGGCAGUCAUGGCACCUGCGCCUCGCCCUUGGGACCGUGUCGCUGUGAGCCCGGCUUCCUCGGACGUGCCUGUGACCUGCACCUGUGGGAGAACCAGGGGGCUGGUUGGUGGCACAAUGUGAGUGCCGGGGACCCUGCCUUUCCUGCUCGCAUUGGGGCAGCUGGUGCCUUCUUGUUCCCGCCAGGGCUGCUGGCCAUUUUUGGAGGCCAGGACCUCAACAGUGCCCUGGGUGACCUCGUCCUGUACAACUUCUCUGCCAACACCUGGGAACGCUGGGACCUGAGUCCUGCCCCGGCUGCCCGUCAUUCCCAUGUGGCUGUGGCCUGGGCUGGCUCCCUGGUGCUGAUGGGCGGUGAGCUGGCCGAUGGCUCCCUCACCAGUGAUGUGUGGGCCUUCAGCCCACUGGGCGGGGGCCGCUGGGAGCUCCUGGCAGCACCUGCCUCUAGCAGCUCAGGGCCACCAGGCCUGGCAGGUCAUGCAGCCGCCCUAGUGGAUGACUUCUGGCUCUAUGUGUCUGGUGGCCGCACUCAGCAUGACCUCUUCUCCUCUGGCCUCUUCCGUUUCCGCCUUGAUGUUACCAGUGGGGGCUACUGGGAGCAGGUGAUUCCCGCAGGUGGGCGGCCCCCUGCUGCCACCGGCCACUCCAUGGUGUUUCAUGCCCCCUCCCGCACCCUGCUGGUUCAUGGUGGACACCGGCCCUCCACUGCCCGAUUCUCUGUGCGGGUUAAUUCCACUGAGCUCUUCCAUGUGGAUCGGCGCAUGUGGAUGACCCUGAAGGGCCGGGAUGGGCUUCAGGGCCCAAGGGAGCGAGCCUUCCACACGGCCAGUGUCCUAGGCAACUACAUGGUGGUCUACGGGGGCAACGUGCAUACCCAUUACCAGGAGGAAAAGUGUUAUGAGGACGGGAUCUUCUUCUACCACCUGGGCUGCCAUCAGUGGGUAUCGGGGGCUGAGCUUGCCCCGCCAGGAACCCCGGAGGGCCGAGCAGCACCCCCCAGUGGUCGGUACUCACAUGUGGCGGCUGUGCUUGGUGGCAGUGUCCUCUUGGUGGCUGGGGGGUACAGUGGCCGGCCCCGCGGGGACUUGAUGGCCUACAAGGUGCCUCCCUUUGUGUUCCAGGCGCCUGCUCCGGAUUACCACCUGGACUACUGCUCCAUGUACACGGACCACAGCGUCUGCUCCCGGGACCCUGAAUGCAGCUGGUGUCAGGGAGCCUGCCAAGCUGCACUGCCUCCUGGGACUCCCUCAGGGGCUUGUCCAGCUGCCAGCUGCCUGGGCCUGGGACGCCUUCUGGGUGACUGCCAGGCCUGCUUGGCCUUCAGCAGCUCCGCGGCUCCUCCCCGGGGGCCUGGUGCCCUGGGCUGGUGCGUGCACAACGAGAGCUGCCUCCCUCGGCCUGAGCAGGCCCGCUGCCGAGGGGAGCAGAUAUCAGGCACUGUGGGCUGGUGGGGGCCUGCACCUGUCUUCGUCACAUCCCUGGAGGCCUGUGUCACCCAGAGCUUCCUGCCUGGCCUGCACCUGCUCACCUUCCAGCAGCCACCCAAUGCCUCCCAGCCCGACAAGGUCUUGAUUGUCCGCAGUACAACCAUCACCCUGACACCCAGCCCAGAGACUGACGUGUCUCUGGUCUACCGAGGCUUCAUCCACCCUCUGCUGCCGGGAGGGCCUGGUGGGCCAGGGGCCGAGGAUGUGGCCGUAUGGGCCCGGGCCCAGCGCCUACAUGUCCUGGCUCGGAUGGCCCGUGGCCCCGACACAGAGAACAUGGAGGAGGUGGGGCGCUGGGUGGCUCAACAGGAGAAGGAGACGAGGCGGCUGCAGCGCCCAGGGUCUGCUCGCCUCUUCCCGCUGCCUGGCCGUAGCCACAAGUAUGCAGUGGAGAUCCGGGGCCAGCUCAAUGGCUCUGCAGGCCCUGGACACAGCGAGCUCACCCUGUUGUGGGACCGGACUGGCGUGCCGGGUGGAAGCGAGAUCUCUUUCUUCUUCCUGGAGCCCUACCGCUCAUCGGCCUGUGCCUCCUACUCCUCCUGCCUGGGCUGCUUGGCGGACCAGGGCUGCGGCUGGUGCCUGACCAGCUCCACCUGCCACCUGCGCCAGAGCGGGGCCCACUGUGGGGACAGCAGGGCCGACGGGUCCCUGUUGGUACUGGUGCCUGCCCUCUGCCCACUCUGUGAGGAGCAUCGCGACUGCCAUGCCUGCACCCAGGAUGCCUUCUGUGAGUGGCAUCAGAGCACCAGCCGAAAGGGGGAUGCAGCAUGCAGCCGGCGGGGCAGGAGUCGGGGCGCCCUGAAGAGCCCAGAGGAGUGUCCCCCACUCUGCAGCCAGCGCCUGACCUGUGAUGACUGCCUGGCUAACUCUAGCCAAUGCGCCUGGUGCCAGUCCACCCACACUUGCUUCCUGUUCGCCGCCUACCUGGCCCGGUACCCGCAUGGGGGCUGCCGUGGCUGGGAUGACAGUGUGCACUCAGAGCCCCGGUGCCGGAGCUGCGACCGCUUCCUGACCUGCCACGAGUGUCUGCAAAGCCACGAGUGUGGCUGGUGUGGCAAUGAGGACAACCCCACAUUGGGCCGGUGCCUCCAGGGAGAUUUCUCAGGGCCCCUGGGUGGGGGUAACUGCUCCCUGUGGGUGGGGGAGGGCCUGGGGUUGUCCGUGGCCCUCCCUGCCCGCUGGGCAUAUGCCCGCUGUCCAGACGUGGAUGAGUGUCGCCUGGGCCUGGCUCGGUGCCACCUGCGGGCCACCUGCCUGAACACUCCCCUCAGCUAUGAGUGUCACUGCCAGCGGGGCUACCAGGGCGAUGGCAUCACCUACUGCAAUCGCACGUGCCUGGAGGACUGUGGCCAUGGUGUGUGCAGCGGUCCCCCCGAUUUCACCUGCGUGUGUGACCUGGGCUGGACAUCCGACCUGCCCUUGCCCACACCUGCCCCAGGCCCCCCUGCCCCCCGCUGCUCCCGGGACUGUGGCUGCAGCUUCCAUAGUCACUGCCGCAAGCGGGGGCCUGGCUUUUGUGAUGAGUGCCAAGACUGGACGUGGGGGGAGCACUGUGAACGGUGUCGGCCUGGAAGCUUCGGCAAUGCCACAGGCUCAGGUGGCUGCCGGCCCUGCCAGUGCAAUGGGCAUGGGGACCCGCGCCGUGGCCACUGUGACAACCUCAGCGGGCUCUGCUUCUGCCAGGACCACACUGAGGGUACCCACUGCCAGCUCUGCUCCCCUGGCUACUAUGGGGACCCCCGGGCUGGUGGCUCCUGCUUCCAGGAGUGUGGGGGUCGUGCUCUUCUCACCAACGUGUCCUCUGUGGCACUGGGCUCACGUCGGGUCGGGGGGCUGCUGCCUCCAGGUGGCGGGGCAGUGAGAGCCGGGCCAGGCCUGUCCUAUUGUGUGUGGGUUGUCUCAGCCACUGAGGUGCUACAGCCCUGUGCCCCUGGGACCCUCUGUCCCCCGCUCACCCUCACCUUCUCCCCCGACAGCAGUACCCCCUGCACGCUGAGCUACGUUCUGGCUUUUGAUGGAUUCCCGCGCUUCCUAGACACUGGUGUCGUCCAGUCGGAUCGUAGCCUCAUUGCUGCCUUCUGCGGCCAGCGGCGGGACAGGCCUCUCACUGUGCAGGCUUUGUCUGGGCUUCUGGUGCUGCACUGGGAGGCCAAUGGCUCCUCGUCCUGGGGCUUUAAUGCCUCCGUGGGCUCUGCCCGCUGCGGAUCAGGGGGCCCUGGUAGCUGCCCUGUCCCCCAGGAGUGUGUACCCCAGGAUGGGGCUGCAGGUGCUGGACUCUGCCGAUGUCCCCAGGGAUGGGCUGGCCCACACUGUCGCAUGGCUCUGUGUCCUGAGAACUGUAAUGCCCACACUGGGGCAGGCACUUGUAACCAGAGCCUGGGCGUGUGCAUCUGUGCCGAGGGCUUUGGGGGCCCCGACUGUGCCACAAAGCUGGACGGUGGGCAGCUGGUCUGGGAGACCCUCAUGGACAGCCGACUCUCAGCUGACACUGCUAGUCGCUUCCUGCACCGCCUGGGACACAUCAUGGUGGAGGGACCUGAUGCUACCUUGUGGAUGUUUGGGGGCCUAGGCCUGCCCCAGGGGCUGUUGGGAAACCUGUACAGGUACUCAGUGAGUGAGCGGCGGUGGACACAGAUGCUGGCGGGAGCUGAGGACGGGGGCCCUGGCCCCUCACCCCGCUCCUUCCACGCAGCCGCCUAUGUGCCCGCUGGCCGUGGGGCCAUGUACCUGCUGGGGGGCCUUACAGCCACGGGUGUCACCCGAGACUUCUGGGUCCUCAAUCUUACCACCCUGCAGUGGCGGCAGGAGAAGGCCCCUCAGGCUCUGGAGCUGCCAGCCGUUGCUGGGCACACCCUUACUGCCCGCCGAGGCCUGUCUCUGCUCCUCGUGGGUGGUUACUCUCCUGAAAAUGGCUUCAACCAGCAGCUGCUCGAGUACCAGCUGGCGACUGGCACCUGGGUGUCUGGAGCCCAGAGUGGAACACCCCCCACAGGUCUCUAUGGUCAUUCUGCGGUGUACCACGAGGCCACUGACUCUCUCUAUGUGUUUGGGGGUUUCCGCUUCCACGUGGAGCUGGCGGCCCCAUCCCCCGAGCUCUACUCCCUGCACUGUCCUGAUCGCACCUGGAGCCUGCUAGCCCCUUCUCAGGGGGCAAAGCCCCACCCCCGGCUUUUCCAUGCCGCAGCACUGCUAGGAGAUGCCAUGGUGGUCCUUGGGGGGCGCUCAGACCCUGAUGAAUUCAGCAGCGACGUUCUGCUCUACCAGGUCAACUGCAACGCCUGGCUCCUCCCUGACCUCACCCGUUCGGCCUCUGUGGGGCCCCCGAUGGAGGAGUCUGUAGCACAUGCUGUGGCGGCAGUAGGAGGACGCCUGUACAUCUCUGGGGGCUUUGGGGGAGUGGCCUUGGGCCGCCUGAUGGCCCUGACCCUGCCCCCUGCCCCCUGCCGCCUGCUGCCCUCACCUGAAGCUUGUAACCAGUCUGGGGCCUGCACCUGGUGCCAUGGAGCCUGCUUGUCUGGGGACCAGGCCCACGGUCUGGGCUGUGGGGUGCCCCCCUGCUCCCCAAUGCCUCAGUUGCCUGAGGAAUGUCGACGUCUCCGGACCUGCAGUGAGUGCCUGGCCCGCCAUCCCCGGACCCUGCAGCCUGGAGAUGGCGAGGCAUCUGCCCCCCGCUGUAAGUGGUGUACCAACUGCCCAGAGGGUGCCUGCAUUGGGCGCAAUGGGUCGUGCACGUCGGAGAAUGACUGUCGGAUCAACCAGAGAGAGGUCUUCUGGGCUGGGAACUGCUCAGAAGCCGUGUGCGGGGCUGCCGACUGUGAGCAGUGCACGCGGGAGGGCAAGUGCAUGUGGACUCGGCAGUUCAAGAGGACAGGGGAGACCCGCCGCAUCCUCUCAGUGCAGCCCACCUAUGACUGGACGUGCUUCAGCCAUUCUCUACUGAAUGUAUCCCCAAUGCCAGUGGAAUCAUCGCCCCCACUGCCAUGUCCCACCCCCUGUCACCUCCUGCCCAACUGCACCUCCUGCCUGGACUCCAAGGGUGCAGAUGGGGGCUGGCAGCACUGUGUCUGGAGCAGCAGCCUCCAACAGUGUCUGAGCCCCUCCUACCUGCCUCUGCGAUGUAUGGCUGGAGGCUGUGGGCGGCUGCUCCGUGGGCCCGAGAGCUGCUCCCUGGGCUGUGCUCAGGCAACCCAGUGUGCCCUGUGUCUGCGGCGCCCCCACUGUGGCUGGUGUGCCUGGGGGGGCCAGGAUGGGGGUGGCCGCUGCCUGGAGGGUGGACUCAGUGGCCCCCGUGAUGGGCUGACAUGUGGACGACCUGGGGCUUCCUGGGCCUUCCUGUCCUGCCCCCCUGAGGACGAGUGUUCCAAUGGGCACCACGACUGCAACGAUACACAGGACUGCCGUGACCGGCCACGUGGCUACGAGUGCAGCUGCAAGGCGGGCUACACCAUGGACAACAUCACGGGCCUAUGCCGCCCCGUGUGCGCCCAGGGCUGCGUGAACGGCUCGUGUGUGGAGCCCGACCAUUGCCGCUGCCACUUUGGCUUUGUUGGCCGCAACUGCUCCACAGAGUGUCGCUGCAACCGCCACAGCGAGUGCGCCGGUGUUGGGGCCCGUGACCACUGCCUGCUUUGCCGCAACCACACCAAGGGCAGCCACUGCGAGCAGUGCCUCCCACUGUUUGUGGGUUCAGCCGUGGGGGGUGGGACCUGCCGGCCCUGCCAUGCCUUCUGUCGUGGCAAUAGCCACGUCUGCGUCUCCAGGAAGGAGCUUGAAAUGGCCAGGAGGGAGCCGGAGAAGUACUCACUGGAUCCGGAGGAGAUCGAAAACUGGGUGACAGAGGGUCCUAGUGAAGACGAAGCCGUCUGUGUGAACUGUCAGAAUAACAGCUAUGGAGACAAAUGCGAGAGCUGCCUCCAUGGUUACUUCCUCCUGGAUGGGAAGUGCACCAAAUGCCAGUGUAAUGGCCAUGCAGAUACAUGUAAUGAACAGGACGGGACGGGCUGCCCAUGUCAGAACAACACAGAGACGGGCACUUGCCAGGGCAGCUCCCCCAGUGACCGCCGAGACUGCUACAAGUACCAGUGUGCCAAGUGCCGGGAGUCAUUCCAUGGGAGCCCGCUGGGCGGCCAGCAGUGCUACCGCCUCAUCUCCGUGGAGCAGGAGUGCUGCCUGGACCCCAUGUCACAGACCAACUGCUUCCAUGAGCCCAAGCGCCGGGCUCUGGGCCCUGGCCGCACUGUCCUCUUUGGUGUGCAGCCCAAGUUCACCAACGUGGACAUCCGUCUGACUCUGGAUGUGACCUUCGGUGCUGUGGACCUCUAUGUCUCCACCUCGUAUGACACCUUUGUGGUCCGUGUGGCCCCUGACACAGGCAUCCACACUGUGCAUAUCCAGCCACCGCCCCCACCCCCGCCACCUCCACCCCCUGCCGAUGGCGGCCCCCGUGGGGCCAGCGAUCUGGGGGGACCGGGGGCUGGGGGGGGGGCGGGCACCCCAGCAGAGCCGCGGGUGCGGGAGGUGUGGCCGCGGGGCCUGAUCACCUACGUGACAGUGACAGAGCCAUCGGUAGUGCUGGUGGUCCGCAGCGUGCGGGACCGGCUCGUCAUCACCUACCCACACGAGCACCACGCCCUCAAGUCCAGCCGCUUCUACCUGUUGCUCCUAGGCGUGGGAGACCCGAGUGGGCCCGGCGCCAAUGGCUCAGCCGACUCGCAGGGCCUACUUUUCUUCCGGCAGGACCAGGCUCACAUCGACCUGUUUGUCUUCUUCUCUGUCUUCUUCUCCUGCUUCUUCCUUUUCCUCUCUCUCUGCGUGCUCCUCUGGAAGGCCAAGCAGGCCCUGGACCAACGGCAGGAACAACGCCGGCACCUGCAAGAGAUGACCAAGAUGGCCAGCCGUCCCUUUGCUAAGGUCACUGUCUGCUUCCCGCCAGACCCUGCUGCCCCGGCCCCCGCCUGGAAGCCAGCUGGGCUCCCGCCACCCACCUUCCGCCGCUCUGAGCCCUUCUUGGCACCUCUGCUGCUGACAGGGGCUGGCGGGCCCUGGGGACCUGUGGGAGGGGGCUGCUGUCCACCGGCCAUCCCUGCCACCACUGCCGGCCUGCGAGCUGGCCCUAUCACCCUCGAGCCCACCGAAGAUGGCAUGGCUGGUGUGGCCACACUGCUGCUCCAGCUGCCUGGUGGGCCCCAUGCACCCAAUGGUGCCUGCCUGGGGUCAGCCCUUGUCACACUGCGGCACAGGCUGCACGAAUACUGUGGGGGCAGUGGGGGUGUGGGGGGCAGUGGGCAUGGGGCCGGUGCGGGCCGGAAGGGACUGCUGAGCCAGGACAACCUCACUAGCAUGUCCCUCUGACCCACUGCCGGGUCCUCAGCCACAGCAGCCAGGACCCCUGCUGGGGCUGCCCUGGACUUGGGGCCCGUCCACCUGAGGGUCCCUGGACUCUGUAUCCUCAAAGACCCCUGGCUCUUCCCCCAGGGAUCCCCAGACAGGGCCUUCUUCAUUCUGCAUUCAACAAUUAUUUAUUGAAUACCUACUAUGUGCCAGGCAUUGUCAAUGGCACCCAGCAAAGGAGGAAUCAAGACAGGCAAGGUCCGCGAUCUCAUGGGUCUUAGAUUCUAGUGAAGGGAAACAAUCAUCACGUGUGCACACAUGCGUGUACACACACAUGGAUGCACCUAGACAAGUAGGAACAAUGCUGGGGGAGAAGGGCCACAAGACAGCAAUGGCACGUGGCUGCUGGGGACUGCAGGGUAAAGUCAGCAAGGCAUUCCAAGAAGGGAGGCUUAGAGGUGGAGGAAGAGCCAUGGGGGCAGCUGGGGUGCUGGGUUCCCAGCAGAGGGACCUGCAAGCACGAAGGCCCUGAGGUGGGUCCGGCUCAUUUUAUUAGAUCAGAAAACUGGCCAGUGUGAGGAGGAGAUGAGGUUGGGGACUGGCCAGGGCCAGUCAUGCAGGGCCUCGUGGGCCCCAGAUGGUUUGGGGUUUUAUUCUCAGGGCAGUGGGGAGCCGUUGGACAGUUUUAUAAGGGAGAAUGACAGGAUCUGCCAUACCUGUUUUAAGAGGUCAGUCAGCUGUGGUGUGGAGAAUGGAUUGGAGGGCGCAAGGGAGGCGGCUGGGAACAAGAGAUAAGAGCUGGAUUAGGGUGGUGGCUGUGAGAGGGGAAGUUGGGGACAGAGGUGGGAAGUGUGUGGGAGGACGUAAGGAUGGUGUGGGUGUGGGCAUGAGGGAGGGGAGGAAUCCAGGAUGACCCCGAGUUUGUGGUCUGAACUGUGGGUGGGUGGCGGUGUGUAUUUCCAGGGGCAGACCGGACCCUGUGGGGAGGAUCAGGAGUCCAGUUUUAGACCUAAGUUGCCCUUCAGCCAUCUCUUCAGUCAUGUCCAGCCAGGGGAACAGAAGCUGCUGAGUAUUUCAGCAGAAGGAACUGAGUGCAGGGGAUUCGCUGUACUGGUGAGGGACACGGCUGAUUAGAGGCAGCCCAGGGGCAGGCAGGCAAAAGCAGGAAGCUGCUGCUGUCAUCUCUAGGCUGGCGGGACACAGCUCAGGUGGACUUCCCUGGCCCCAGGGUCACCCAGCUCAGAGCACAAGGAGGCAAAGCCACUAUCUGGGAUGCCACCCCAGUUGCUGCUCUGGACCUUGGGCCCCGUGGCCUCCCCUCUGCUGGGGGCCUCAGUCUAAGGCCCGUCCAUGUGUGCUAUCAGAGGCCAUCUGAAAGAGUGGGGAGCAAUUGAAGCGACAAAUAAAGAGCCUGAGGAAGACUGUG
This is an RNA transcript of Manis pentadactyla (Chinese pangolin), 10827 nucleotides long. It is a transcript of the gene named multiple EGF like domains 8, with no coding region annotated. Lineage: Eukaryota; Metazoa; Chordata; Mammalia; Pholidota; Manidae. The record is from RefSeq and is a predicted model, not a curated record. The transcript has 42 exons.